Molecule: long non-coding RNA, 722 nt
Organism: Maniola jurtina (meadow brown)
Lineage: Eukaryota; Metazoa; Arthropoda; Insecta; Lepidoptera; Nymphalidae
Exons: 3
Source: RefSeq, a predicted model, not a curated record
AACAAAAUUAUUCUGGCCUUAGCAUAAGUACCUAUUUCUAAUUAUUUUUUAAAUUUGAUUUCGAUUGUUUCGAUAAAGUGAGCGUUUUCAUUUCUUAAAUAACUUUUAUCCAGAGCUUCUUAAACUGUGAAAGCUUGUAGUUAGCUAUAAUUUUCUUCAAGUUAUCUUGCAUCCAGAAGAUGGACAUAUACAUUUUUCCCGAAAAAUUAAGGACUUCCUUCCGGAAUUUUAAAAACUUAAUUCACGUGGACGAAGUCACCGGGCAUCAUCUAGUAUAUCUAUAUCAUCUUGGCGUAUUUAAGCUGUAUUUAAGUACCAAACAACGACUUCAUGUUUGGAUUUCAAGUCCUAACUCCUCAACCCUGAUGAUGCAAGGUACAGCAACCCUAAAUUUUAGUGAUUCAGGAACAGCGGACGGUGCAAUAUUAGUUUAGGUAACUACCAAGCACAGACUAAUCCUGAUGAUGCAAGGUACUGAAGUCCCAAGCGGUGAGGAUUCGAGAAUUUCUGAUGGUAAAUUAAUAUUUUAGGUAUUAAACAAAAGCUUUAUGAUUACACUCCAAGUCCGACCUCCUUAAACCUGAUGAUGCAGAGUACUCCUAAACCAUAGAGAUUCAGGAACUGGUGAAUUCCUGGUGAAAUAAUAUUGUGAAUGCCAAGAAGGUCAUUGAUGCCAAGCAUAGACUUUGUUAUUGAAUUCCAAGUUAUCUGCUAUCUUAGAC